Molecule: long non-coding RNA, 1229 nt
Organism: Syngnathus acus (greater pipefish)
Lineage: Eukaryota; Metazoa; Chordata; Actinopteri; Syngnathiformes; Syngnathidae
Exons: 2
Source: RefSeq, a predicted model, not a curated record
UCAUUCUUGGACAAUUUAGUCUUGCUGACUGUUUCCAAAACUGCUUUUUGUGUUUUUUUUAUUUGUGUUGACAGUGUUGUCUGUCGCUCGGCCGACAACACCCCUACAUUACCGUAAUGUCUGUCACCUGCUCCCUCUUGUUGUCUCAUUUAUUUAAGCCCUGCCCGUGUGUUUCUCCUUGUCGGUGUCUACUGUUGUCUCCUGUCUGUGUCUGCGCCUGGUGUUCCUGUUCUGCUCGUCCAGUUUCCCCCCGGUCUUGUGUGGAGGCUCACGGUCAGAUUCUGGACUUCUGUUUGCCUGUCUGCUGGCUCUGGAAGAGAGCUGCCCGUUUGAACAGGUGCACAUGUUGGGUCUGGAACAGAAGCCAUCCCCGCAGGAGUUCCUGCAAAUUGCUGUUGGGUCAAAAAGACAAAGGGUGAGCCAUUUGAAACUUUUAAGCAAAGCAGUAAGAGAAAUGUUUCUUCUCGUGGAACUUACGGACAAUGCACUGGUUCCCGCCUGGCAGAGUUUUCCAUCCGGGGCAGCAGUAUGAAUGGAAACGAGAACCGCAAACGUUUGGUCUGAAACACAAAAAUAAAAAAAAAUGGCAUAUUUUGAGAGAAUCCUUGAAACAAUUGACUGGACUAGCCAAACAAAAAAUGUUCAAUUGACAGAUGUAACAGUCAUCGUAGACUAUGGAGCGUUUGAUUGGUCUCGGCCACAAGCUUUCCUCUCAGGAAACAGCUAAACCGCAUUUGCAAAUGACUGACAUUACUCACACACACACAUUGAGGCUUUACAAACCAAUAAGAGGAGGACUCUUUCAUACAUAUCAUAAAAAUCUCCCUCAUGCAUCAACUUUAAAACCCAAUUCCAGUCGGAAUACAGAAGUAAAUGCAGCGUAGCAAUCUGAAAAGAUUCCAGCAGUGUGGUUGUACUAAUGAUAUGUGCAGUCGUGUUUUGUGAAGCAUGUGACUGAUAAUGUCUACAUUUCUAGUAAUACAGUUUAGAUUGAAACCUUUCCUGUCUGUUAACAUCAUCCCUAUAAAAAGCGUAUCUUGCAAAUAUUUAUAUAGAGCUAAAGUCAACAGUGGUGACAUCAUCACAAUGACUUUUGUUUGGAGAGUUUUUACAAGUUACUUCAUCUAAACUGACCAUUUGUGUUUAUUGUGAAAAUGGUGGUGAGGAUUGAGGUUGAAGUUCUUUCUUUCUCAACAAUAAAAAAUAAACGCUUCUAUGAAUCUUUCCAA